CUAGGCUAGUUUUAUACACUACUCUACUUUUAUACACUAGGCUACUUUUAUACACUACUCUAGUUUUAUACACUACUCUACUUUUAUACACUAGGCUAGUUUUAUACAUUAGGCUAGUUUUAUACACUACUCUACUUUUAUGCACUACUCUACUUUUAUACAUUAGGCUAGUUUUAUACACUACUCUAGUUUUAUACACUACUCUACUUUUAUACAUUAGGCUAGUUUUAUACACUACUUUUAUACAUUAGGCUAGUUUUAUACACUACUCUAGUUUUAUGCACUACUCUACUUUUAUACACUAGGCUAGUUUUAUACACUAGGCUAGUUUUAUACACUACUCUACUUUUAUACACUAGGCUAGUUUUAUACACUACUCUAGUUUUAUACACUAGGCUAGUUUUAUACACUAGGCUAGUUUAUACACUAGGCUAGUUUUAUACACUACUCUACUUUUAUACACUAGGCUAGUUUUAUACACUAGGCUAGUUUUAUACACUAGGCUAGUUUUAUACACUACUCUACUUUUAUAGUGUGAUUUAUUCUUACGUGUGUG
Molecule: long non-coding RNA, 556 nt
Organism: Ictalurus punctatus (channel catfish)
Lineage: Eukaryota; Metazoa; Chordata; Actinopteri; Siluriformes; Ictaluridae
Source: Ensembl